UGGAUCAUCUACCUACUUGUGGGAAUAACUCUGGGAAACCGGAGCUAAUACCGCAUAAGUCCGAGAGGAGAAAGCAGCAAUGCGCAGAGAGAGGAGUCCGCGGCCGAUUAGUUAGUUGGCAGGGUAAAAGCCUACCAAGACAAAGAUCGGUAGCCGGCCUGAGAGGGCACACGGCCACACUGGCACUGAAACACGGGCCAGACUCCUACGGGAGGCAG
This 218-nucleotide ribosomal RNA is filed under the name uncultured bacterium. RNAcentral's name for it is "partial 16S ribosomal RNA". It matches the Rfam family "Bacterial small subunit ribosomal RNA", at positions 118 to 351 of the family's 1533-position model. The record is from RNAcentral.